RNAcentral lists this ribosomal RNA (274 nucleotides) under uncultured bacterium. RNAcentral's name for it is "partial 16S ribosomal RNA". It matches the Rfam family "Bacterial small subunit ribosomal RNA", at positions 523 to 796 of the family's 1533-position model. The record is from RNAcentral.
AUACGGAGGGUGCAAGCGUUGUCCGGAUUUAUUGGGUUUAAAGGGUGCGUAGGUGGUUUUUUAAGUCAGUGGUGAAAGCCUACAGCUUAACUGUAGAGGUGCCAUUGAUACUGGGGAACUUGAGUAUGGACGAGGUAGGCGGAAUUUGUGGUGUAGCGGUGAAAUGCAUAGAUACCACAAGGAACACCGAUAGCGAAGGCAGCUUACUGGGCCAUAACUGACACUGAGGCACGAAAGCGUGGGGAGCGAACAGGAUUAGAUACCCCAGUAGUCC